RNAcentral lists this transfer RNA (71 nucleotides) under Clostridiales bacterium. Its description in RNAcentral is "tRNA-Arg". It matches the Rfam family "tRNA". Rfam says of the family: Transfer RNA (tRNA) molecules are approximately 80 nucleotides in length. Their secondary structure includes four short double-helical elements and three loops (D, anti-codon, and T loops). Lineage: Bacteria; Bacillati; Bacillota; Clostridia; Eubacteriales. The record is from RNAcentral.
CGCCAGUAGCUCAGUUGGAUAGAGCAACGGCCUUCUAAGCCGUGGGUCAGGGGUUCGAGUCCCUUCUGGCG